AUUGAACGCUGGCGGCAUGCCUAACACAUGCAAGUCGAACGGUAACAGGCCGCGAGGUUCCGAUGAGGGGCGGAGGGGGGCGUACUGCUGCGGAACGUGCCCAGCCGUGGGGGUUAAUUGCUCGCAACGGAAGCAAAAAUAGCAUACGACCUCUGGAUGACAGCGGGGGAAAGCAAGGCAUCGUCGGAUCUGGCGCGCCUGAAUCAGAUUAGGUAGUUGGCGGGGUAAAGGCUCACCAAGGCAACGAUCUGUAGCUGGUCUGAGAGGAGGACCAGCCACACUGGAACUGAGACACGGCCCAGACUCCUACGGGAGGCAGCAGUGGGGAAUUUUGGACAAUGGGCGCAAGCCUGAUCCAGCAAUGCCGCGUGCAUGAAGAAGGCCUUCGGGUUGUAAAGUGCUUUUGUUGGGAACGAAACGAAGCUGGUUAAUACCCGGAUCUGAUGACGGUACCGUAAGAAUAAGCACCGGCUAACUACGUG
RNAcentral lists this ribosomal RNA (482 nucleotides) under uncultured bacterium. Its description in RNAcentral is "partial 16S ribosomal RNA". It matches the Rfam family "Bacterial small subunit ribosomal RNA", at positions 29 to 507 of the family's 1533-position model. The record is from RNAcentral.